CCUACGGGUGGCUGCAGUGGGGAAUAUUGGACAAUGGGCGAAAGCCUGAUCCAGCCAUGCCGCGUGUGUGAAGAAGGCCUUCGGGUUGUAAAGCACUUUCAGUGGGGAAGAAAGCCUUGGGGCUAAUACCCUCGAGGAAGGACAUCACCCACAGAAGAAGCACCGGCUAACUCCGUGCCAGCAGCCGCGGUAAUACGGAGGGUGCGAGCGUUAAUCGGAAUUACUGGGCGUAAAGCGCGCGUAGGCGGUCUGAUAAGCCGGUUGUGAAAGCCCCGGGCUCAACCUGGGAACGGCAUCCGGAACUGUCAGGCUAGAGUGCAGGAGAGGAAGGUAGAAUUCCCGGUGUAGCGGUGAAAUGCGUAGAGAUCGGGAGGAAUACCAGUGGCGAAGGCGGCCUUCUGGACUGACACUGACGCUGAGGUGCGAAAGCGUGGGUAGCAAACAGGAUUACAUACCCUGGUAGUC
Molecule: ribosomal RNA, 465 nt
Filed under: Vreelandella stevensii
Lineage: Bacteria; Pseudomonadati; Pseudomonadota; Gammaproteobacteria; Oceanospirillales; Halomonadaceae
Description: partial 16S ribosomal RNA
Rfam family: Bacterial small subunit ribosomal RNA
Source: RNAcentral